RNAcentral lists this ribosomal RNA (489 nucleotides) under Triticum aestivum (bread wheat). RNAcentral's name for it is "partial small subunit ribosomal RNA". The record is from RNAcentral. Lineage: Eukaryota; Viridiplantae; Streptophyta; Magnoliopsida; Poales; Poaceae.
AUGAGCACCAACCUCGUCAACUUCAUGACGGACAAAAUGGGCAUGACCUACACCGCCGCCGCCAACAGCGUCACCAACUGGGGCGGCACCUGCUACGCCACCACCCUCAUCGGCGCCUUCCUCGCCGACGCCUACCUCGGCCGCUUCCGGACCAUCGCCUCCUUCGUCACCAUCUACAUCAUCGGGCUGGGGCUUCUGACGAUGGCGGCGUCCGUGAAAGGGCUGGUGCCGACGUGCGCGGCGAAGGGAGUGCGCGACCCGAUGGCGGGGCAGACGGCGGCGGUCUUCGUGGGUCUGUACCUGGUCGCGCUGGGCACGGGCGGGAUCAAGCCCUGCGUGUCCUCAUUCGGGGCGGACCAGUUCGACGAGCACGACGACGGCGAGCGGCGGAGCAAGAGCUCCUUCUUCAAUUGGUUCUACUUCUCCAUCAACAUCGGCGCGCUGGUGGCCUCGUCCGUGCUCGUGUACGUGCAGGAGCGCUUCGGCUGA